This 594-nucleotide long non-coding RNA is filed under the name Homo sapiens (human). Its description in RNAcentral is "mir-99a-let-7c cluster host gene". Lineage: Eukaryota; Metazoa; Chordata; Mammalia; Primates; Hominidae. The record is from RNAcentral.
AGCUUGUGGAAGGGGCCUCUGGGUGGCAGCUCUGGGCUUUUGGGUGUUGGACAACCAUAGGCAAAACUGAAAUGGAACAGGGGCAGAAAAUAGCACACUUUUACUCUACGCAACUGUUGCUUUUUCAUGAUCUUCAGGAAUUUUACUGGGAUAAUUAUCCAAAUAAAUUGCAAGCAUUCUAUCCAAAUGGACAUCCAUAAAAAUUCAUCAGAGAGCAUUUUACUACUGAGCUGCAAAGGGAAAAACUUAAAAUGGAUAUGAAAAGUGAAGAAAGUGAUCAUAGGAGAAAACCAUUUCAGAUAUCUGUGGAUAUCUCUCCAGAACUUCAUGUAUAUGUGUCUGAUGAUUUGUGAGCCUCAAGUGACUACUCUGUGGAAUCAUCUGUCCUUGCCUUUGAAUUAGCUUUCCCUAGGCCAUGAGUCAACAUUAGUAGUUUAUACAUCCAAAUUGAUGACAAGAGCACCUCAAAGGCAGCAGCCUCAAGGAGCAGCCAUGGCCCCAGACUUGUCGCACGGAUGCAGAAAACUUAAUGGAGGAGGCUGAGGUCAGAAUGGGAAGAGUUUUUAAAAAAUAAAAAGGGGAGCUAAUAUGUGA